GAUGAACGCUGGCGGCGUGCUUAACACAUGCAAGUCGAACGGAAAGGCUCCUGCUUGCAGGGGUAGUCGAGUGGCGAACGGGUGAGUAACACGUGGGUGAUCUGCCCUGCACUUCGGGAUAAGCCUGGGAAACUGGGUCUAAUACCGGAUAGGACGAUGGUUUGGAUGCCAUUGUGGAAAGUUUUUCGGUGUGGGAUGAGCUCGCGGCCUAUCAGCUUGUUGGUGGGGUAAUGGCCUACCAAGGCGUCGACGGGUAGCCGGCCUGAGAGGGUGUACGGCCACAUUGGGACUGAGAUACGGCCCAGACUCCUACGGGAGGCAGCAGUGGGGAAUAUUGCACAAUGGGCGCAAGCCUGAUGCAGCGACGCCGCGUGGGGGAUGACGGCCUUCGGGUUGUAAACUCCUUUCGCUAGGGACGAAGCGUUUUGUGACGGUACCUGGAGAAGAAGCACCGGCUAACUACGUG
RNAcentral lists this ribosomal RNA (466 nucleotides) under uncultured bacterium. Its description in RNAcentral is "partial 16S ribosomal RNA". It matches the Rfam family "Bacterial small subunit ribosomal RNA", at positions 28 to 507 of the family's 1533-position model. The record is from RNAcentral.